Molecule: transfer RNA, 87 nt
Filed under: Oleiphilaceae bacterium
Lineage: Bacteria; Pseudomonadati; Pseudomonadota; Gammaproteobacteria; Oceanospirillales; Oleiphilaceae
Description: tRNA-Leu
Rfam family: tRNA
About the family: Transfer RNA (tRNA) molecules are approximately 80 nucleotides in length. Their secondary structure includes four short double-helical elements and three loops (D, anti-codon, and T loops). Further hydrogen bonds mediate the characteristic L-shaped molecular structure. tRNAs have two regions of fundamental functional importance: the anti-codon, which is responsible for specific mRNA codon recognition, and the 3' end, to which the tRNAs corresponding amino acid is attached (by aminoacyl-tRNA synthetases). tRNAs cope with the degeneracy of the genetic code in two manners: having more than one tRNA (with a specific anti-codon) for a particular amino acid; and 'wobble' base-pairing, i.e. permitting non-standard base-pairing at the 3rd anti-codon position.
Source: RNAcentral
GCCGAGGUGGCGAAAUUGGUAGACGCGCUAGCUUCAGGUGCUAGUUCCCUCCGGGGAGUGGCGGUUCAAGUCCGCCUCUCGGCACCA